AGCCUAGUGGAUAUGGCAUCUGCCCGGUAAGCGGAACCCUGUGGGUUCGAUUCCCAU
RNAcentral lists this transfer RNA (57 nucleotides) under Cordylochernes scorpioides. RNAcentral describes it as "tRNA-Thr". The record is from RNAcentral. Lineage: Eukaryota; Metazoa; Arthropoda; Arachnida; Pseudoscorpiones; Chernetidae.